GACCAGACUCCUACGGGAGGCAGCAGUGAGGAAUAUUGGUCAAUGGGCUUACGCCUGAACCAGCCAAGUCGCGUGAGGGAAGACUGCCCUAUGGGUUGUAAACCUCUUUUGUCAGGGAGCAAUUGGCGCUACGUGUAGCGUUAUCGAGAGUACCUGAAGAAAAAGCAUCGGCUAACUCCGUGCCAGCAGCCGCGGUAAUACGGAGGAUGCGAGCGUUAUCCGGAUUUAUUGGGUUUAAAGGGUGCGUAGGCGGAAUGCCAAGUCAGCGGUAAAAUUGCGGGGCUCAACCUCGUCGAGCCGUUGAAACUGGGUGCCUUGAGUGGGCGAGAAGUACGCGGAAUGCGUGGUGUAGCGGUGAAAUGCAUAGAUAUCACGCAGAACUCCGAUUGCGAAGGCAGCAUGCCGGCUCCACACUGACGCUGAGGCACGAAAGCGUGGGUAUCGAACAGGAUUAGAUACCCCAGUAC
Molecule: ribosomal RNA, 467 nt
Filed under: uncultured bacterium
Lineage: Bacteria
Description: bacterial SSU rRNA
Rfam family: Bacterial small subunit ribosomal RNA
Source: RNAcentral